AGGUUAUAGUAAGAGGAAAAGAGAAGAGAGAAUACAGUCAGAGUGCAUCAAGGGGUUCACAAAAGAGCAACAGGUGCUUCCAGAUUCCUGUGCAGAACUUACUGACAUCAGUGUGGUUUGGUCUCUCUACUGGAGAACACAGAACCAAAAGUUCAGGCUGCAAUACUGGCAGCUGAGGAUCAAAGUCCAGUGAUGGUGGCGAGGAUCAGACACAGCCCAGAGAUCUCUCAUCACAGCUGUAGGGCCAGCUCUGGAUCACAAAGGUGUGCGGGCAGACAAAGGAAGGCACAGAAGCAAGGGUCAAUGGAAUGGCCUGAAAAGGCUCCUGAAUGGAGCAGGGGCAGGUCCCUGCAAGACCCAUAAGGUUUUUCCUGAAUAGCUCUUCCUUCACAGUAGUGUGGAUUUGGGUUAGCUCCUGUCCUUGAGCCAGGCCACUGUGCUCCUGGGAGGCAAGAGUGUAAACUUCAGGC
Molecule: long non-coding RNA, 470 nt
Organism: Serinus canaria (Common canary)
Lineage: Eukaryota; Metazoa; Chordata; Aves; Passeriformes; Fringillidae
Exons: 3
Source: RefSeq, a predicted model, not a curated record